Molecule: ribosomal RNA, 484 nt
Filed under: uncultured bacterium
Lineage: Bacteria
Description: partial 16S ribosomal RNA
Rfam family: Bacterial small subunit ribosomal RNA
Source: RNAcentral
AUUGAACGCUGGCGGCAGGCCUAACACAUGCAAGUCGAGCGGAUGAAGGGAGCUUGCUCCUGGAUUCAGCGGCGGACGGGUGAGUAAUGCCUAGGAAUCUGCCUGGUAGUGGGGGAUAACGUCCGGAAACGGGCGCUAAUACCGCAUACGUCCUGAGGGAGAAAGUGGGGGAUCUUCGGACCUCACGCUAUCAGAUGAGCCUAGGUCGGAUUAGCUAGUUGGUGGGGUAAAGGCCUACCAAGGCGACGAUCCGUAACUGGUCUGAGAGGAUGAUCAGUCACACUGGAACUGAGACACGGUCCAGACUCCUACGGGAGGCAGCAGUGGGGAAUAUUGGACGAUGGGCGAAAGCCUGAUCCAGGCAUGCCGCGUGUGUGAAGAAGGUCUUCGGAUUGUAAAGCACUUUAAGGUGGGAGGAAGGGCAGUAAGUUAAUACCUUGCUGUUUUGACGUUACCAACAGAAUAAGCACCGGCUAACUUCGUG